AGAGUUUGAUCAUGGCUCAGAUUGAACGCUGGCGGCAUGCCUAACACAUGCAAGUCGAACGGUAACAGGCGGAGCUUGCUCUGCGCUGACGAGUGGCGGACGGGUGAGUAAUGCUUAGGAAUCUGCCCAGUAGCGGGGGACAACAGUCGGAAACGGUUGCUAAUACCGCAUACGCCCUACGGGGGAAAGCAGGGGAUCUUCGGACCUUGCACUAUUGGAUGAGCCUAAGUCAGAUUAGCUUGUUGGUGGGGUAAAAGCCUACCAAGGCGACGAUCUGUAGCCGGUCUGAGAGGACGAUCAGCCACACUGGAACUGAGACACGGUCCAGACUCCUACGGGAGGCAGCAGUGGGGAAUAUUGCACAAUGGGCGCAAGCCUGAUGCAGCAAUGCCGCGUGUGUGAAGAAGGCCUGCGGGUUGUAAAGCACUUUCAGUAAGGAGGAAAAUCUCAAGGUUAAUACCCUCGAGGCUUGACGUUACUUACAGAAGAAGCACCGGCUAACUCCGUGCCAGCAGCCGCGGUAAUACGGAGGGUGCGAGCGUUAAUCGGAAUUACUGGGCGUAAAGGGUGCGUAGGCAGCAUGGUCAGUCGGAUGUGAAAGCCCCGGGCUCAACCUGGGAAUUGCAUUCGAUACUGCCAAGCUAGAGUAUGUUAGAGGAAAGUGGAAUUCCCGGUGUAGCGG
RNAcentral lists this ribosomal RNA (682 nucleotides) under uncultured bacterium. RNAcentral describes it as "bacterial SSU rRNA". It matches the Rfam family "Bacterial small subunit ribosomal RNA", at positions 8 to 681 of the family's 1533-position model. The record is from RNAcentral.